GGAUUAAGUGGAGGCGUACUCGGUUGAGUACGUUUUCACCUUCGGGAAAGCGCAUUUUCCCUCUGCUUCAGCUCAAAGGACUUGUUUGUGAUGAUAUUUUUGCAGAAAAGUCCCUGAACUUCAACCCUUCAUAUCUUUUUAACCACAACUCCAAAUGAGCCCCUCCGAGAGAGAACUGUUUCCGGCAAAUCUUUUCGCGGCUUCACC
This is a non-coding RNA of Aegilops tauschii subsp. strangulata, 207 nucleotides long. NCBI's taxonomy places the organism in Eukaryota, Viridiplantae, Streptophyta, Magnoliopsida, Poales, Poaceae. The record is from RefSeq and is a predicted model, not a curated record.